This 613-nucleotide ribosomal RNA is filed under the name Trichosporon asahii. Its description in RNAcentral is "eukaryotic LSU rRNA". It matches the Rfam family "Eukaryotic large subunit ribosomal RNA", at positions 52 to 654 of the family's 3401-position model. Lineage: Eukaryota; Fungi; Basidiomycota; Tremellomycetes; Trichosporonales; Trichosporonaceae. The record is from RNAcentral.
GGAGGAAAAGAAACUAACAAGGAUUCCCCUAGUAACGGCGAGUGAAGCGGGAAGAGCUCAAAUUUGAAAUCUGGCAGUCUUCGAUUGUCCGAGUUGUAAUCUAUAGAGGCGUUUUCCGUGCCGGACCGUGUCCAAGUCUCCUGGAAAGGAGUAUCAAAGAGGGUGAUAAUCCCGUACUUAACACGACCACCGGUGCUCUGUGAUACGUCUUCUACGAGUCGAGUUGUUUGGGAAUGCAGCUCAAAAUGGGUGGUGAAUUCCAUCUAAAGCUAAAUAUUGGCGAGAGACCGAUAGCGAACAAGUACCGUGAGGGAAAGAUGAAAAGCACUUUGGAAAGAGAGUUAAACAGUACGUGAAAUUGUUGAAAGGGAAACGAUUGAAGUCAGUCGUGUUCUUUGGAUUCAGCCAGUUCUGCUGGUCUACUUCCUUGGAACGGGUCAACAUCAGUUUUGUCCGGUGGAUAAAGGUAGUAGGAAUGUGACUUCUCCGGAAGUGUUAUAGCCUAUUAUCACAUACACUGGGUGAGACUGAGGACUGCAGCUCGCCUUUAUGGCCGGCCUUCGGGCACGUUCGAGCUUAGGAUGUUGACAUAAUGGCUUUAAACGACCCGUCU